Molecule: ribosomal RNA, 403 nt
Filed under: Mesalina guttulata
Lineage: Eukaryota; Metazoa; Chordata; Lepidosauria; Squamata; Lacertidae
Description: partial 16S ribosomal RNA
Rfam family: Bacterial large subunit ribosomal RNA
Source: RNAcentral
GAUUACACUGUCUCUUGUAAUUGACCAAUGAAACUGAUCUUGUNGUCCAAAAGCUACAAUAAAAUCACCAGACGAGAAGACCCUGUGGAGCUUCAAACCAAAACCAAAAAAAUGGCCAUUUGAUUUUUAGUUGGGGCAACUUCGGAGUACACACCAACCUCCGACAAAAUAAGUCAAGACAAACAAGUCUAAACAAUUUUCCUGACCCAAUAGUCUACUCUAGACUAUUUGACCAAUGAACCAAGUUACCCCAGGGAUAACAGCGCUAUCCCCUUUUAGAGUCCCUAUCGACAAGGGGGCUUACGACCUCGAUGUUGGAUCAGGACACCCCAAUAAUGCAGCAGUUAUUAAAGGUUCGUUUGUUCAACGAUUAAAGUCCUACGUGAUCUGAGUUCAGACCGGA